RNAcentral lists this ribosomal RNA (583 nucleotides) under Saccharomyces cerevisiae (brewer's yeast). RNAcentral's name for it is "partial large subunit ribosomal RNA". It matches the Rfam family "Eukaryotic large subunit ribosomal RNA", at positions 70 to 664 of the family's 3401-position model. The record is from RNAcentral. Lineage: Eukaryota; Fungi; Ascomycota; Saccharomycetes; Saccharomycetales; Saccharomycetaceae.
ACGGGAUGCCUUAAGGUAACNAGCGAGUGAAGCGGCAAAAGCUCAAAUUUGAAAUCUGGUACCUUCGGUGCCCGAGUUGUAAUUUGGAGAGGGCAACUUUGGGGCCGUUCCUUGUCUAUGUUCCUUGGAACAGGACGUCAUAGAGGGUGAGAAUCCCGUGUGGCGAGGAGUGCGGUUCUUUGUAAAGUGCCUUCGAAGAGUCGAGUUGUUUGGGAAUGCAGCUCUAAGUGGGUGGUAAAUUCCAUCUAAAGCUAAAUAUUGGCGAGAGACCGAUAGCGAACAAGUACAGUGAUGGAAAGAUGAAAAGAACUUUGAAAAGAGAGUGAAAAAGUACGUGAAAUUGUUGAAAGGGAAGGGCAUUUGAUCAGACAUGGUGUUUUGUGCCCUCUGCUCCUUGUGGGUAGGGGAAUCUCGCAUUUCACUGGGCCAGCAUCAGUUUUGGUGGCAGGAUAAAUCCAUAGGAAUGUAGCUUGCCUCGGUAAGUAUUAUAGCCUGUGGGAAUACUGCCAGCUGGGACUGAGGACUGCGACGUAAGUCAAGGAUGCUGGCAUAAUGGUUAUAUGCCGCCCGUCUUGAACCACGG